UGAAGAUAUUAAGGGCACACGGUGGAUGCCUUGGCAUCAGAAGUCGAUGAAGGACGUGACAAGCUGCGAUAAGCUGCGGUGAGCUGCAAAUAGGCUUUGACCCGCAGAUUUCCGAAUGGGGGAACCCACCUAGGGUCAUGCCUAGGUACUCUCACUUGAAUAUAUAGAGUGAGUAGAGGCAACCUGGGGAACUGAAACAUCUAAGUACCCAGAGGAAAAGAAAUCAACCGAGAUUUCCAGAGUAGUGGCGAGCGAAAUGGAAAGAGCCUAAACCUGCGUAUGUGUAAGCGUUGGAGUGUUGCUGCGCAAGGUGUUGUAGGGUCGUUUAUUCUUUGAGUCCAACCUCUUAGACGUAGUUACAAAGUGUUGUUAUAGCAAAAUGGUAUGGAAAGGCCAACCAGAGCAGGUUAAAGUCCUGUAUGCGAAAUAGCAGCACCUACGAAAACGAUACCUGAGUAAUGCCGGACACGUGAAAUCCGGUAUGAAGCUAGGGAGACCACUCUCUAAGGCUAAAUAUUCUCUGAUGACCGAUAGCGAACCAGUACCGUGAGGGAAAGGUGAAAAGUACCCCGAGAGGGGAGUGAAAUAGUACCUGAAACCGUGUGCCUACAAGCAGUCGGAGCAGCUUUAUGCUGUGACGGCGUGCCUUUUGUAGAAUGAGCCUACGAGUUACGGUAUGCGGCGAGGUUAAGUUUUUAAACGAGCCGUAGCGAAAGCGAGUCUUUAAACGGGCGACUAGUCGUAUGCUGUAGACGCGAAGCCGAGUGAGCUAUCCAUGGGCAGGCUGAAGCAGAGGUAAGACUCUGUGGAGGGCCGAACCCACUUCGGUUGAAAACGGAGGGGAUGACCUGUGGAUAGGAGUGAAAGGCUAAUCAAACUCGGAGAUAUCUCGUUCUCCCCGAAAUAGCUUUAGGGCUAGCCUCGAUUGUUCAAUUACGCUGGUAGAGCACUGGAAUUUCGCGGGGGCUUCACCGCCUACCAACAAAUACCAAACUCCGAAUGGCGUAAUUUUAGAAAUCGGGAGUCAGAAUAUGUGGGCUAAGCUGUGUAUUCGAAAGGGAAACAGCCCAGACCGCCCGCUAAGGUCCCUAAGUUCAUGCUAAGUGGCAAAGGAUGUGCGUUUGCCUAGACAACCAGGAUGUUGGCUUAGAAGCAGCCAUGCAUUUAAAGAGUGCGUAAUAGCUCACUGGUCAAGUGGACAUGCGCCGACAAUUCACGGGGCUAAGCAUGAGACUGAUUUUAAUCAGUGGUAGGGGAGCUUUCUAUACUGGGUUGAAGCAGGCUGGUAAUGGUCUGUGGACUGUAUAGAAGUGAGAAUGUAGGCAUGAGUAACGAGAGAAGUGCGAGAAACACUUCCGCCGUAAGCCUAAGGGUUCCUGGGCAAGGCUAAUCCUCCCAGGGUCAGUCGGGAGCUAAGGCGAGGCCGCAAGGCGUAGUCGAUGCACAACAGGUUGAUAUUCCUGUACCACCAAUAUGACGUUAUUACCAAUGGGGUGACGGAGAAGGAUAGCUGAGCGGGGUUCUGGACGUCCCCGUGAAAGCGUGUAGGGUUGGAUGUAGGCAAAUCCGCAUCCAGUAUGCCUGAGACGUUAGACGAAGCAAUUGUGUGAAGUCAGCAAGUCCAUGCUUCCAAGAAAAACCUCUAGGGAGACAUGUUGGUGCCCGUACCAAAACCGACACAGGUAGGCGGGUAGAACAUACCAAGGCGAUCGGGAGAACUAUGGUUAAGGAACUCGGCAUAUUGACUCCGUAACUUCGGGAGAAGGAGUGCCUCUGUUGGUGAAAGGAUUUACUCCUCGAGCUGACGGAGGUCGCAGUGAAACGGCCCAAGCGACUGUUUAUCAAAAACACAGGACUCUGCUAAGUCGUAAGACGAUGUAUAGGGUCUGACGCCUGCCCGGUGCUGGAAGGUUACGUGGAUGGGUUAGCGCAAGCGAAGCUUUGAAACUAAGCCCCAGUAAACGGCGGCCGUAACUAUAACGGUCCUAAGGUAGCGAAAUUCCUUGUCGGGUAAGUUCCGAC
RNAcentral lists this ribosomal RNA (2022 nucleotides) under feces metagenome. RNAcentral's name for it is "bacterial LSU rRNA". It matches the Rfam family "Bacterial large subunit ribosomal RNA", at positions 1 to 1987 of the family's 2925-position model. The record is from RNAcentral.